CCAACAUCUUUACUGUGAUGCAUUAUUCACUUACUCCAGCUAGACCCUAUUCAAAGCACACACUUUAUACACAGAAACCCAUGAGGUGUGUAUCGUUUCCCCAUUUCAGAGGAGGAGACUGAGCCCCUCAGAGUCUGGGUGAAUUGCCCAACAUCACACAGCUAUUAAGGGAAGCUCAGUACUCUCUACGGGAUGAAAACCGUGAAUUGAUAUACACACACAGAGCCUCCACCAGCAGCCAUGAAGUUUGCAGCCAAGACAAAAUCGCCAGAUGUGGAAACACCUUCAUUUUACUUAGUGGAUAUGAGAAAGAAUAUCCGAACCAGAGCUCUUCCAGAAUAGAAGCAGUUGCUUCAACCAGCAGGAAAUGUUCUGUUCAUGGACAAGUCCAAGCCCCGAAGCCUUGCCAGGACGGUGGCCAAGCAUCACGUGGUGGAGGUUAGGCGGUCUACCUGCCCUACACAAUGUCUCCGUCUUACAAUAAAAUGAUGAGUUUUACAGUUUUAUGGAACA
Molecule: long non-coding RNA, 513 nt
Filed under: Theropithecus gelada (gelada)
Lineage: Eukaryota; Metazoa; Chordata; Mammalia; Primates; Cercopithecidae
Description: lncRNA (ENSTGEG00000000123.1)
Source: RNAcentral